This 500-nucleotide ribosomal RNA is filed under the name uncultured Glomeromycotina. RNAcentral's name for it is "partial small subunit ribosomal RNA". It matches the Rfam family "Eukaryotic small subunit ribosomal RNA", at positions 591 to 1092 of the family's 1831-position model. The record is from RNAcentral. Lineage: Eukaryota; Fungi; Glomeromycota.
CCAAUAGCGUAUAUUAAAGUUGUUGCAGUUAAAAAGCUCGUAGUUGAAUUUCGGGAUCAAUUAAUUGGUCGUGCCUCUGGUACGUACUGAUUUUAUUGGUUUCUCCCUUCUGACGAACCAUGAUGUCAUUAAUUUGGUGUCGUGGAGAAUCAGGACUGUUACUUUGAAAAAAUUAGAGUGUUUAAAGCAAGCUAACGCUUGAAUACAUUAGCAUGGAAUAAUGAAAUAGGACGUUUGAUCCUAUUUUGUUGGUUUCUAGGAUCGACGUAAUGAUUAAUAGGGAUAGUUGGGGGCAUUAGUAUUCAAUUGUCAGAGGUGAAAUUCUUGGAUUUAUUGAAGACUAACUACUGCGAAAGCAUUUGCCAAGGAUGUUUUCAUUAAUCAAGAACGAAAGUUAGGGGAUCGAAGACGAUCAGAUACCGUCGUAGUCUUAACCAUAAACUAUGCCGACUAGGGAUCGGAUGAUGUUAAUUUUUUAAUGACUCAUUCGGCGCCUUACA